This 238-nucleotide ribosomal RNA is filed under the name uncultured bacterium. RNAcentral's name for it is "partial 16S ribosomal RNA". It matches the Rfam family "Bacterial small subunit ribosomal RNA", at positions 96 to 334 of the family's 1533-position model. The record is from RNAcentral.
UGGCGGACGGGUGAGUAACGCGUGGGUAACCUGCCUCAUACAGGGGGAUAACAGUUAGAAAUGACUGCUAAUACCGCAUAAGACCACGGUACCGCAUGGUACAGUGGUAAAAACUCCGGUGGUAUGAGAUGGACCCGCGUCUGAUUAGGUAGUUGGUGGGGUAACGGCCUACCAAGCCGACGAUCAGUAGCCGACCUGAGAGGGUGACCGGCCACAUUGGGACUGAGACACGGCCCAG